This is a long non-coding RNA of Homo sapiens (human), 674 nucleotides long. NCBI's taxonomy places the organism in Eukaryota, Metazoa, Chordata, Mammalia, Primates, Hominidae. The record is from Ensembl.
UAACACAGAAAGGAAAACCAACAGCAUGGGCCUCUUGGCUUGGAGGAAGCCAAAGUGCACAUUUCUUCAGUCAUACUACAUCUGGGUUCAUCUAGCCACCUCUGCCAUGCUGCCCAAGUUCAACCCCAAUGAGAUCAGUCAUAUACCUGCCAGGUGCCCUGGUGGAAAACUGGGUACCAUGUCUGCCCUAGCCCUUAAGAUCAACCCUCUGGACCUGUCUCCAAAAUAAGUUGGUGAUGACAUUCCCAAGGCCACAGGUCACCAGAAGAGUCAAAGGAUUACAAUGAAACUGACCAUUCAGAACAGACAGGCUCAGACUGAGGUGGUACUUUCUGCCUCUGCCGUGAGCAUCAAAGCCCUCAAGGAACCAGAGACAGAAAGAAGCAAAACAAUCAAGCACAGUGGAAAUGCCAUUUUUCAUGACACUGUCAAGAUUGCAUGACAGAUGCAGCACCAAUCCUUAGUCACAGAACUCUCUGGGACCCGUAAAGAGAUCUUGGAGACUGCCCAGUCUGUGAGCUCCAAUGUUGAUGGGCGCCAGCCUCCUGACAUCAUAGAUGACAUCAAAUCAACAGUGGUGCAAGUAAAUAUCCAGCUAGCUAUGAACUACGAAGGAAAAAAUUUCAAUAAAGGAUCAUUUGACAACUAAAAAUAAAAACACAGCAUGGUUAUGA